This 769-nucleotide ribosomal RNA is filed under the name uncultured Pseudomonadota bacterium. RNAcentral describes it as "bacterial SSU rRNA". It matches the Rfam family "Bacterial small subunit ribosomal RNA", at positions 568 to 1335 of the family's 1533-position model. Lineage: Bacteria; Pseudomonadati; Pseudomonadota. The record is from RNAcentral.
AGCGUAGGUGGCUCGAUAAGUCAGAUGUGAAAUCCCCGGGCUCAACCUGGGAACUGCAUCUGAUACUGUUGAGCUAGAGUAUGUGAGAGGAAGGUAGAAUUCCAGGUGUAGCGGUGAAAUGCGUAGAGAUCUGGAGGAAUACCGAUGGCGGAGGCAGCCUUCUGGCAUAAUACUGACACUGAGGCUCGAAAGCGUGGGUAGCAAACAGGAUUAGAUACCCUGGUAGUCCACGCCGUAAACGAUGUCUACUAGUCGUUGGGUCCCUUGAGGACUUAGUGACGCAGCUAACGCAAUAAGUAGACCGCCUGGGGAGUACGGCCGCAAGGUUACAACUCAAAUGAAUUGACGGGGGCCCGCACAAGUGGUGGAGCAUGUGGUUUAAUUCCGAUGCAACGCGAAGAACCUUACCUGGUCUUGACAUAUCUAGAAUCCUGCAGAGAUGCGGGAGUGCCUUCGGGAAUUAGAAUACAGGUGCUGCAUGGCUGUCGUCAGCUCGUGUCGUGAGAUGUUGGGUUAAGUCCCGCAACGAGCGCAACCCUUGUCCUUAGUUACCAGCGGGUUAAGCCGGGAACUCUAAGGAUACUGCCAGUGACAAACUGGAGGAAGGCGGGGACGACGUCAAGUCAUCAUGGCCCUUACGACCAGGGCUACACACGUGCUACAAUGGUAGGUACAGAGGGCAGCUACACAGCGAUGUGAUGCGAAUCUCAAAAAGCCUAUCGUAGUCCAGAUUGGAGUCUGCAACUCGACUCCAUGAAGUAGGAAUCGC